UGAAAGCUGAAGCCCACUGGAAAAGUGAAGAUACUCUCUGCAAUAUAGGCACACCAGACCACCGUACUUGUGUGUCUGGCCAUGCUGCUCCACAGCCAAACCCAGAGCAAGGGCUGCUUCUGCUUCUCUGCCUCGUCUUUGUUCAUGAUGACCAAGAUUUGGCAUCCCUUUGCCUAGCUGUGAGGAGAAAUUCAAGGAUGGCCCAAAUUGUUGAAGCCUCCAUCUCAAAUGUCAGACCACCUGGGAUAUGCAGCUGUCAUGCUGAAAGGGGAGCUGCCUGGGACCGGCCCUGGCCUGCUCAUCAAAAAGAUACUGUCACUACCCAGCAAGCAUUGCUAGGUGCACAGGGUGACGGCAAGAGAGAUGCACCUGGCUCUGGAUUUGAGGGAUGAAGAAAAAAUAAAGAACGUAGAUGGAACUAUGUAUAUCAUCAAAACAGACUUGCCUCUGCUGUGUUAUUCUCUCCAUCAACAUAUUUACAUCUUCCCUGUCAAUACUUGUGCAGAGAUCAAUAUAUCCUGAUUAUGAAUAAAUAAAAAUGUGUAAUAUUCC
This is a non-coding RNA of Heterocephalus glaber (naked mole-rat), 552 nucleotides long. The record is from RefSeq and is a predicted model, not a curated record. Lineage: Eukaryota; Metazoa; Chordata; Mammalia; Rodentia; Bathyergidae.